GGAGCACUGGGUCAGGAAUGACUUCCUUCUGCUUGGGUGUGUGUGCAUCAGCUCUGCUCUCUGUGCCAAAGUUGAGAUCAUCCUCAUGCCAGAAAGAGGAACCUGGUGGGCGGUCCAGUCAGGACAAGGCUUAUCAACAGAAAAAAGUGGAAAAGCCGGCCUGGAGAAGCAGAGGAGGGAUCAACAGGCUUCAUAGUGUGGCUUCUGACAAGUGGCCAGAGUCCCAGGACACCGGCACUGGAGUGGACCAUGGAGCAGACCUCUGCCUCCUGAGUAAAGAUGCCGUCGAGCGUAAUGUUGGCUGGAAGAAAUGGGAGCAGCUCUCAGUGAAGUGACUUACUCAGCAUACACACGGAAUUAACUGAGAUUAGAAUUCUGAAUUAUUACCUCUGGGUCGAGAGCAUCCCCCUCCUUUUCUACCUGCCCACGUGUGUCACCUUGAAGAUGAGAUGGAUUCCAGCCCCAAGAGUCAUGGGAAAUGGAGCAUAAAGGAUCUGAAGAGGAAGAACAAGGCAGUAUUCAGGAUUCAAUUCCAGAACGUCUGCCCCUUCGAGACCGCAGUUGGCCACACUUGCUCAGCUUGCUUGCCCAUGUCAUCCAGCUUCCCUGGCCCUGAAGAAAGCCUCCAUUCACUCCGUGUGCACCUGCACCCAGCCAACGGUGGGAGGCUGCCGUCUGCACCCAAAUCCAUUGCUCAAUAUUCUUCUCCUUGGCGUUCUCAGUGACACCUCACUCUGUCAAAGCCCACAUGGCCUUACCGUCCGUCUGGGCGUCUUGAUAGUAAAUACACUUUU
Mirounga angustirostris (Northern elephant seal) is the source of this 794-nucleotide long non-coding RNA. RefSeq lists it as uncharacterized. The record is from RefSeq and is a predicted model, not a curated record. NCBI's taxonomy places the organism in Eukaryota, Metazoa, Chordata, Mammalia, Carnivora, Phocidae. The transcript has 3 exons.